Molecule: ribosomal RNA, 445 nt
Filed under: uncultured bacterium
Lineage: Bacteria
Description: bacterial SSU rRNA
Rfam family: Bacterial small subunit ribosomal RNA
Source: RNAcentral
GCCAGACUCCUACGGGAGGCAGCAGUGGGGAAUAUUGCACAAUGGGGGAAACCCUGAUGCAGCGACGCCGCGUGAGUGGAGAAGUAUUUCGGUAUGUAAAGCUCUAUCAGCAGGGAAGAAAAUGACGGUACCUGAUUAAGAAGCCCCGGCUAACUACGUGUCAGCAGCCGCGGUAAUACGUAGGGGGCAAGCGUUAUCCGGAUUUACUGGGUGUAAAGGGAGCGUAGACGGUGAUGCAAGUCAGAAGUGAAAGCCCGGGGCUCAACUCCGGGACUGCUUUGGAAACUGUGCAGCUCGAGUGCAGGAGAGGUAAGCGGAAUUCCUAGUGUAGCGGUGAAAUGCGUAGAUAUUAGGAGGAACACCAGUGGCGAAGGCGGCUUACUGGACUGUAACUGACGUUGAGGCUCGAAAGCGUGGGGAGCAAACAGGAUUAGAUACCCCAGUA